RNAcentral lists this transfer RNA (73 nucleotides) under Camelus dromedarius (Arabian camel). It matches the Rfam family "tRNA". From Rfam's summary of the family: Transfer RNA (tRNA) molecules are approximately 80 nucleotides in length. Their secondary structure includes four short double-helical elements and three loops (D, anti-codon, and T loops). Lineage: Eukaryota; Metazoa; Chordata; Mammalia; Artiodactyla; Camelidae. The record is from Rfam by way of RNAcentral. RNAcentral also lists the same sequence under 1 other name.
GAGGGUAUAGCUCAAGCAGUGGAGUGUAUGUUUAGCAUGCACAAGGUCCUGGGUUCAAUCCUCAGUACCUCCU